Long non-coding RNA from Eptesicus fuscus (big brown bat), 510 nucleotides. RefSeq lists it as uncharacterized. Lineage: Eukaryota; Metazoa; Chordata; Mammalia; Chiroptera; Vespertilionidae. The record is from RefSeq and is a predicted model, not a curated record. The transcript is spliced from 2 exons.
GGAAGUUACGUCACAGCCAGGCGCCGGGACUCCGGCGUGGACGGGCACGUGCUCUGCGCAGCCGCACUGAGGUUUGGUUCUCGGCUCUCCUUCCAGCUCGUCGGCACUAGCCUUCACCGAAGGAACCUAAGGAGCCCUGCAGUUUGGAGGACCGGACCGACGACGGCGUCGCACCCCAAGUGACGUCAGACCGAGGAAGCUGGCGGUCCCGGCUCGGAGUUCAGGAAUGUAGUCUAGGAUUCCUGCUGCCUCCUCCUGUUGGCCGAAGAAGCUCUAGUGCCAAACAGAGGACAAGGUCUGUUGUACCAGGAUUCCUCACCUUUCUCCGUCACUUACUCAUGCACUCUCAGACAUUGGAGAUCCACUGCCUGAUGGGCAGAUUGACCCCCAGAGUGAGGUAGGCUACACAGUGAUGCCAGUAAAUCCUGGAACAGAACCCAGAUCUCCUGACUUCUAGGACAAUGCUGUAUCCAUUUUCCUAAUGGAAGGCAAAUAUCAUGUCUCCACUCA